This 395-nucleotide ribosomal RNA is filed under the name uncultured bacterium. RNAcentral describes it as "bacterial SSU rRNA". It matches the Rfam family "Bacterial small subunit ribosomal RNA", at positions 361 to 773 of the family's 1533-position model. The record is from RNAcentral.
AUCUUGCGCAAUGGGCGAAAGCCUGACGCAGCCAUGCCGCGUGAAUGAUGAAGGUCUUAGGAUUGUAAAAUUCUUUCACCGGGGACGAUAAUGACGGUACCCGGAGAAGAAGCCCCGGUUAACUUCGUGCCAGCAGUCGCGGUAAUACGAAGGGGGCUAGCGUUGCUCGGAAUUACUGGGCGUAAAGGGAGCGUAGGCGGACUGUUUAGUCAGAGGUGAAAGCCCAGGGCUCAACCUUGGAAUUGCCUUUGAUACUGGCAGUCUUGAGUAUGGGAGAGGUGAGUGGAACUCCGAGUGUAGAGGUGAAAUUCGUAGAUAUUCGGAAGAACACCAGUGGCGAAGGCGACUCACUGGCCCAUUACUGACGCUGAGGCUCGAAAGCGUGGGGAGCAAAC